This is a long non-coding RNA of Biomphalaria glabrata, 497 nucleotides long. RefSeq lists it as uncharacterized. NCBI's taxonomy places the organism in Eukaryota, Metazoa, Mollusca, Gastropoda, Planorbidae. The transcript has 4 exons. The record is from RefSeq and is a predicted model, not a curated record.
ACAGCGUCAACCCCACAUAUUCAACGUGAUGUUCUUGUGAAUUAUUUUGAUUAUCGAUAGAUUGAAAAAUCCGUUUCCGAUAAUUACGUGGAUCUAAUUUUAGAUUAGAAUGGCUCAAGCUAUAAAAGGAGUCAAAUCGUAUACGACAAAUUUUAUUUUUUGAGUGUUAUCGUAUAUAUAUCAGUGGCUACUUAAAAAAAAAGAAGAUAAUUACGUCCUACGCUUAAUUAAGCAUCUUUUAGCAUGCCACAGACGAUGAAAUUUUACGUUCUGGGGAUGAUUUGUCUGCUCUGUGCUGUCUUAGUGUACAGCAGUAUGACCAGUACACCUAACAGUAUACCUAACAGUACACCUAACAGUUCAACUAACAGUUCAAAAGCGUAUAAACCGCGUAGACGCCUUAUAUCAAGUGGAGGCAGUGCGAAUAUAACAAAUGGAUGCAAUGAUAAAGUGACCUGGAUGAUUUCCAUAGUAAGUGUAAUGAUUCACUAAACAUC